GCAGUCGACGGUAACAGGAAGCAGCUUGCUGCUUUGCUGACGAGUGGCGGACGGGUGAGUAAUGUCUGGGAAACUGCCUGAUGGAGGGGGAUAACUACUGGAAACGGUAGCUAAUACCGCAUAACGUCGCAAGACCAAAGAGGGGGACCUUCGGGCCUCUUGCCAUCGGAUGUGCCCAGAUGGGAUUAGCUAGUAGGUGGGGUAACGGCUCACCUAGGCGACGAUCCCUAGCUGGUCUGAGAGGAUGACCAGCCACACUGGAACUGAGACACGGUCCAGACUCCUACGGGAGGCAGCAGUGGGGAAUAUUGCACAAUGGGCGCAAGCCUGAUGCAGCCAUGCCGCGUGUAUGAAGAAGGCCUUCGGGUUGUAAAGUACUUUCAGCGGGGAGGAAGGCGAUAAGGUUAAUAACCUUGUCGAUUGACGUUACCCGCAGAAGAAGCACCGGCUAACUCCGUGCCAGCCGCCGCGGGU
Molecule: ribosomal RNA, 474 nt
Filed under: Enterobacter hormaechei
Lineage: Bacteria; Pseudomonadati; Pseudomonadota; Gammaproteobacteria; Enterobacterales; Enterobacteriaceae
Description: bacterial SSU rRNA
Rfam family: Bacterial small subunit ribosomal RNA
Source: RNAcentral